GGUUAUUUUGGUUACUUGAAAAUGAAAGGGGUAAGUAUUACGUUAAGGAAUUAAUUUAUAGAAAAUAAUAAGUGUUCUCCUUACAAUUAUCCUUCAUAAAGAAGGCCAAGAUAUUGACAGCAAGGUCGUCUGUUUUGUUAUUAAACUAAAAUAAAUAUUUUAUAAUUUAAUUAAAGAGUCUGAUCCGCUCCUGUUUUGUUUAGCAUAACUCCGCGCCACUGGCCUCCGGCCGGCACAACGCAGAGGAAGCGCAACAAAAAAAUCUCAUAAUUGCAAAGCAGUUUGCCGCAGGUGCGCCACCCGCCCUGGAUGUGCCUGGAUGGGGAUGGGGAUGUGAGGGUACCUGGACAUGGAGCUGGACCUAGUACCUGUUACCUGGUACCUGGGGACCCUGGACAGAGGACGACGCCAGAUGAGCAAGUCCGAUAAAGCGGCGAACUGCGACGGAAUGAGAAAUUUGAUGGUAAUUAAUAUUGUAAGCGAAAUUAAUGGCAAUGCGACACUGCACAGAUACAAUUAUAUAUGCAUGAAAAUGGCCGAGAGUGCUUUAGACAAUUGGAGCACUUCAGCUGGGUAUGGCAAUCAAAAUUCACAGCCAGAUCGAGGGACGAGAUCAAAGGGGACUUCCAUCAUUCCGCGCAUAUUUUACACAUGAUUAACUUGCUAAGUGCAAAUGAUAAUAAAUGCAUCUAAAACAAAGCAA
Long non-coding RNA from Drosophila ananassae, 703 nucleotides. RefSeq lists it as uncharacterized. The record is from RefSeq and is a predicted model, not a curated record. Lineage: Eukaryota; Metazoa; Arthropoda; Insecta; Diptera; Drosophilidae. The transcript is spliced from 2 exons.